CCCUCCCAGCCUGGGCAUAAGGGCGGUAACACAUUUUAAAUUAGACCUGUUCCUUUUCCAUUCAUGAGCUGUCAGACUGCUCACAAGGGGUCCAACCUGGCAUCCCAUCUGGGGCACAGUGAUGAGGGUGGCCAGACCCCAGGCCCAGGUGGGCACAUAUUCAUGAGUUGGGUCUGAGAAGGUUCUGAUCCACUUUAGAGUUGUCCUAGGGCAGGCGUGAUAGGGAAGAGGAAUUUCCAGUGCAGCACAAUUUGAAGCUUUUCUGAAGCUCUGGAAGAAGGCACGCCACUGAAGUCUGUUUUUCCCUUGUCAUCUUUAAUUCAUUACCUGGCACAAAGGAAAGCGGAGACAUAUUUCUGACGGGUUUUUUUAUUAGUCAUUACAGUGUGGUGAGUGUGUCAUCUUUCUGAGUGCUCACAUGCAAUGCCAUGUCACUGUGCAGCCUGGCUCCCAACGUGGCCCCUUGGUGUCCCAGUUUUCACUCCCUGAGGGCCAAGGACAUGCCCUUUCUGUUUGGAAAUGUCAACCUGGUCUCAUUGGCUUCCCUUCUUUCCCCAUUCUUCCAGAAAAGUAGACCUGGGAGGAAAGACUGGGUUUUCCAGCGCCUGCUGACUUUCUUGGAAAUGAUGGGCAUAGUGCCCAAUUUGCUAUUGCCCUAGUUUCCAAUGGCUACUUCUAAAGAGGAAAGCAAUCUUCUCCUUUCUUGCAGGCUGAAACAAGGAGGAGAUGAAGAGAUUUUCAUGAUCAAGAGCCACCCUUUCCAGCAAGAAUGACCACCAAUGGCUUCAUGGAAGAAGUGGCAUUUGGAGAAUAGUAUGAUUUUGACAGGUAGAGCUGGGAGAGGAGGACACUUCUGAAUGAGGAAGCAGCAUGUUCAAAGACCCACGGGCCACUUGGUUGCACAGGCUGAACCAUAUUCACCUCUAGGAAGCCAUUCAGUAACAGUGUGGAAUUGGCCACAUGGCAGCCCUGCUGGAAAGCACAGGGGGUUCUACUUGCCCAUCCGUGGGUUUGCAAAGCCUGACAGCCCUGCAGGAUUGGCUUGGUCUUGCUGUCCCUCUGGAAGCCCAAAUUCACAACAAUGAACUCGCUUUCUUUCCCUGGAUGAGCUGCUCCCAAGUUCAACACCUCAGUAAGUGCUCCAACAUCCUUCCUGCCACUCCAGCGGGAGCCUCCUCCCCUUCCCCACACCACCCCCAAGCACAAAGUGGAUGUCCCCGUCUCUACCAAUCCUACUUAGUCCUAGAUUCUCACGCCUUCUGCCCACCUCGCACUCCCAAGCCCUUACACAGAUGGUAUCCAAGAUGAGCACUUGAAGAUACAGGCCUGAUUAUCUCAUUCUAACCAACCAACUCUUGCAGAUCUUGAGAUUUUUAAAGCUUCUUUUUAGGCUUCCCUUUGCUAGCAGACUUUUCUCAGUCGGAUUCCAACCUGUCUUUUCAAGCCUCAGGUCCUAUAGCUCUCCACAGGCCUCCCACUAUACACAUACACACAUGUACACACAUGCACAUACAUACACACCAUAAUCCGGCCAUGCCAGUCUAGUUAUUCACAUGUGCAGCCCCUGACAGAGUGCUGAUAUUUG
RNAcentral lists this long non-coding RNA (1585 nucleotides) under Callithrix jacchus (white-tufted-ear marmoset). Its description in RNAcentral is "lncRNA (ENSCJAG00000066579.2)". The record is from RNAcentral. Lineage: Eukaryota; Metazoa; Chordata; Mammalia; Primates; Cebidae.